CUAAUAAUUCUGCACUCCCUGUAAACCCAGAUGCCUAGUUAUUGUUUUCAUAUUUGAAACAGAAAUUAACAUGAACCUUCAAUGGCCCACUCACUAAACUGAGAAUUGUCAAGGCAAAAAAAGCUGAACUGUAGUAAUUCUCUGAAUGUAAACACACAUUCUGUUAUCUUACUUUGAUACGGAUCAUACCAAAAAACAACCUAAU
Non-coding RNA from Pelobates cultripes (western spadefoot toad), 205 nucleotides. The record is from the annotation of a GenBank genome assembly. NCBI's taxonomy places the organism in Eukaryota, Metazoa, Chordata, Amphibia, Anura, Pelobatidae.